CUGGUCAUAUUUUUUGAGACAUUUGCUAUUUGUAAAGGAAAUAAGGAUUAAUUAAUGCCACAAUUAUUCAUAUAUUGUAAUAAUCAGUGUGAUAUGUAUAUCCACGUGGCUAGUUCACAUGGAGAAAUAUUUGACCUAUUUCUAGCACAACCAAACUUAAAAGAUAGGAUAAAGAAGGAGAGGCCAACUACCUACACACAAAAUGAAUAUUCAGCAUAUUGAAAUGGACAAGCACUUGCAGAUUCACACAAAACAAGAUCAACAUUAUCACCAAAGUCUUCUAGCCAAGAAAAUUUUCAGACCAAGAAUCAUGGCAACCAAGUUGUUGGAGCUCACAGAAGCCACAGGAAAGACAGACAUGCCUUCUCUUCUCCACCGCCACCACCAAUAGUGCCUUGUUUGGUACCAAAAAAAAGAAAAAAUUGAUUUUUUUUUUGAGGUCCUUCUGAAUAUGCUUACUUUUUGAAUUAUGGUUUGGCAUUAUGAGGACGACAAUUCUUUCUCAUAAUCCAUCCGCCGACCCAUGCCAAGAACUUAUGGUUCGAAAAGCACUUGCUUUUUUGUGUAAUAGGACAGGACCAUCACUUUUUCUGAAAGAAUGUGGUUGCCUUUUAGUUUCUUGCAUGGAUUCUUCUUCUCUGAACAACUUCUCUCCAACAAUCUCCUUCCUUGGAUGCAUAUAAUAAUUUAAAGUUCCUCCCCAUUACCCAGCAUCUGUUUUUCACUUUUUUAUUUGAGAUUACAAUGGUUCAAUAUUUUUGCUCCAAUGAAGAUGAAUAGAUAAAUAUAUAUAUAUAUAUAUAUAUAUAUAUAUGAAAUAAAGUACAAUAUAUAUAAUUCAUCAUAUUUCUUGUUUAACAAAGAAUGGC
Molecule: long non-coding RNA, 869 nt
Filed under: Manihot esculenta (cassava)
Lineage: Eukaryota; Viridiplantae; Streptophyta; Magnoliopsida; Malpighiales; Euphorbiaceae
Description: long non-coding RNA (MESC_LNC008974)
Source: RNAcentral